This 94-nucleotide transfer RNA is filed under the name Microbacterium oleivorans. RNAcentral's name for it is "tRNA-Arg". Lineage: Bacteria; Bacillati; Actinomycetota; Actinomycetes; Micrococcales; Microbacteriaceae. The record is from RNAcentral.
GGCCGCCGUAGACGACGGGCAUGGCCGCGGCGAUGCGGUCGAUGAACGCGUCGCUCGUGUGGUGGGAGACGAUGAUCGCGCCGUCGACGGCCCC